CAGGCAUAGCCAGCUGAAAUUCUGAAAGUGGAUUACGCAUGGAGUAAUGCUGUUCUCAGGAAAUGAGUGAUUUAUUUCAUAAUCUAAAAUUUAAACGUUUUAAUAUACCUCCCAAGAAGAUACCUGGUUCAGAAAACUGCAGAGGAGCCAUGGAACUCAGCAGAAGGCCAACUCCCUCUCUGGGAGGCUGCCUUCAGGAAACCAAUCGUCCACCCACCUGAUUCCAAAGGAAUUACAGAAAAAUGGAAAGCCAGGAACAAAAAUCAUAAAUCAUAUUUUCAAUAUGACCUUGUAACAUUAUCCAUGGAUGUUACCUCAGACUUCAUGAUAAGCUGAGGCCCUGACACCGUGUUCCUGUCACUUUCCUGUUGUGGCCAUGAACGAUGCCUUGAGCUCAGCUCUACCUAGAUGCUUGGACUCAGCUGCUGCAGCUUAGAGGCUCUGGACAAGCCCUUCAGCAUCAGGCCAUCUCUUCCGAGAUUCUGCUCAGUACUUGAGCCUGGAUGAUCUGCUGAGCUUCAGUCUCUGCCCUGCUCCCCUCAUGGAGAACCUGAUUCAUCUGGAGCCUCGGACUCGCUAUGUAGUGGUCCCUGGGAUCAGAGCAGCACUCUUGGAAAAACAGUAAAACAGACUUGUUAUUGGCAGCCCAUUAGUGCUCAGGAGAGGCGGUCUCCAGCAUGACAUCAGCCCGCGGCUCGACCCAAAUCUAGUAUUUCACCAG
Molecule: long non-coding RNA, 721 nt
Filed under: Pongo abelii (Sumatran orangutan)
Lineage: Eukaryota; Metazoa; Chordata; Mammalia; Primates; Hominidae
Description: lincRNA
Source: RNAcentral